CAAGGAAUAGUUUAAAAAAAAUUUCAGUUUUGGGAAUUGAAGAUAAAAUAAAUUCAUUUUUUCCUUGA
Molecule: transfer RNA, 68 nt
Filed under: Grimothea gregaria
Lineage: Eukaryota; Metazoa; Arthropoda; Malacostraca; Decapoda; Munididae
Description: Munida gregaria tRNA-Pro
Source: RNAcentral